This 85-nucleotide small nucleolar RNA is filed under the name Coccomyxa subellipsoidea C-169. RNAcentral's name for it is "Small nucleolar RNA snoR8a". It matches the Rfam family "Small nucleolar RNA snoR8a". The record is from Rfam by way of RNAcentral. Lineage: Eukaryota; Viridiplantae; Chlorophyta; Trebouxiophyceae; Coccomyxaceae.
GUUGCGCGAUGAUGAUAACACAUUCCUCGUACCGAAGCCUGCGGGCAUGAGGACAAAAACAAUCUACCCAUAGAAUAUGAGCGCA